UUUUUACUUCUUAACGACCACUCCACAUGUGUCUGUGUCAUUACUCCUAAUGGCACAAAACUAAGGACUCUGGUGUUCCUGCAGUCAUGGAAGCUGCAUCACUAUGAGAAGUUGAUAUGGGAAAUGAAGUACCUCUGACUCCUUGAAAUAAAUUACAACCCUAGAGACUUUAGAAGACUGUCUAGGUUCCAGUUUUGUUAACCAGAAAAUAAGAAUGGCUUUGCCCACUAAUCAACAUCUCUUGACAGUUUGGCAUUCCCGAAAGAAAUGACAUGCAAAAUUGCCUCUGGUGUGGCA
This 297-nucleotide long non-coding RNA is filed under the name Homo sapiens (human). RNAcentral's name for it is "HSALNT0080222". Lineage: Eukaryota; Metazoa; Chordata; Mammalia; Primates; Hominidae. The record is from RNAcentral.